Non-coding RNA from Danionella cerebrum, 72 nucleotides. Lineage: Eukaryota; Metazoa; Chordata; Actinopteri; Cypriniformes; Danionidae. The record is from the annotation of a GenBank genome assembly.
GGCUCGGUGGUCUAGGGGCGUAAUGCUCAUUUUGGGUGUGAGAGGUACUGGGUUCAAAUCCUGGCCAAGCCC